This 433-nucleotide ribosomal RNA is filed under the name uncultured bacterium. RNAcentral's name for it is "partial 16S ribosomal RNA". It matches the Rfam family "Bacterial small subunit ribosomal RNA", at positions 29 to 507 of the family's 1533-position model. The record is from RNAcentral.
AACGAACGCUGGCGGCAUGCCUAACACAUGCAAGUCGAACGAAGGCUUCGGGCUUAGUGGCGCACGGGUGCGUAACGCGUGGGAAUCUGCCCUUUGGUUCGGAAUAACAGCUGGAAACGGCUGCUAAUACCGGAUGAUGACGAAAGUCCAAAGAUUUAUCGCCAGAGGAUGAGCCCGCGUUGGAUUAGGUAGUUGGUGGGGUAAAAGCCUACCAAGCCGACGAUCCAUAGCUGGUCUGAGAGGAUGAUCAGCCACACUGGGACUGAGACACGGCCCAGACUCCUACGGGAGGCAGCAGUGGGGAAUAUUGGACAAUGGGCGCAAGCCUGAUCCAGCAAUGCCGCGUGAGUGAUGAAGGCCUUAGGGUUGUAAAGCUCUUUUACCCGGGAAGAUAAUGACUGUACCGGGAGAAUAAGCCCCGGCUAACUCCGUG